RNAcentral lists this ribosomal RNA (1050 nucleotides) under Craniella sp. 2-7. Its description in RNAcentral is "SSU rRNA". It matches the Rfam family "Eukaryotic small subunit ribosomal RNA", at positions 43 to 1090 of the family's 1831-position model. The record is from RNAcentral. Lineage: Eukaryota; Metazoa; Porifera; Demospongiae; Tetractinellida; Tetillidae.
ACUAAGCCAUGCAUGUCCAAGUAUGAACGCUCGUACUGUGAAACUGCGAAUGGCUCAUUAAAUCAGUUAUAGUUUAUUUGAUGGUCGCUUUGCUACAUGGAUAACUGUGGUAAUUCUAGAGCUAAUACAUGCACAAAGUCCCGACUUUUGGAAGGGGCGUAUUUAUUAGAUGGAAAACCAGCGCGGGUUACCCUUCUGGGUGCCCGGUACCUGGGCGAUUCAUGAUAACUGCUCGAAUCGCACGGCCCUGGCGCCGGCGAUGGUCCAUUCAAAUUUCUGCCCUAUCAACAUCCGAUGGUACGGUAGUGGCCUACCAUGGUUGCAACGGGUGACGGAGAAUUAGGGUUCGAUUCCGGAGAGGGAGCCUGAGAAACGGCUACCACAUCCAAGGAAGGCAGCAGGCGCGCAAAUUACCCAAUCCCGACUCGGGGAGGUAGUGACAAUAAAUAACAAUGAAGGGCUCUUGUAGUCUGGCAAUUGGAAUGAGUCCAAUUUAAACCCCUUAACGAGGAACAAUUGGAGGGCAAGUCUGGUGCCAGCAGCCGCGGUAAUUCCAGCUCCAAUAGCGUAGAUUAAAGUUGUUGCAGUUAAAAAGCUCGUAGUUGGAUUUCGGGGCAGCCCGGCCGGUCCGCCGCGAGGCGAGUACUGGUCGGGCGCCCUUCCUCUCGAAGGCUUCGACUGCUCUUGAUUGUGGUGGUCGAGGAGUUCGGGACGUUUACUUUGAAAAAAUUAGAGUGUUCAAGGCAGGCCUACGCCUGAAUACAUUAGCAUGGAAUAAUGGAAGAGGACCUCGGUCCUAUUUUGUUGGUUUCCAGGGCCGAAGUAAUGAUCAAGAGGGACAGUUGGGGGCAUUCGUAUAAAAUUGUCAGAGGUGAAAUUCUCGGAUUUAUGAAAGACGAACAAGUGCGAAAGCAUUUGCCAAGGAUGUUUUCAUUAAUCAAGAACGAAAGUUGGGGGUUCGAAGACGAUCAGAUACCGUCGUAGUCCCAACCAUAAACUAUGCCGACUAGGGAUCGGCGGAUGUUAAUGUCUGACUCCGUCGGCACCUUG